RNAcentral lists this ribosomal RNA (496 nucleotides) under uncultured bacterium. RNAcentral describes it as "partial 16S ribosomal RNA". It matches the Rfam family "Bacterial small subunit ribosomal RNA", at positions 28 to 506 of the family's 1533-position model. The record is from RNAcentral.
GAUGAACGCUGGCGGCGUGCCUAAUACAUGCAAGUCGAGCGAACAGAUGAGGAGCUUGCUCCUCUGACGUUAGCGGCGGACGGGUGAGUAACACGUGGAUAACCUACCUAUAAGACUGGGAUAACUUCGGGAAACCGGAGCUAAUACCGGAUAAUAUAUUGAACCGCAUGGUUCAAUAGUGAAAGACGGUUUUGCUGUCACUUAUAGAUGGAUCCGCGCCGCAUUAGCUAGUUGGUAAGGUAACGGCUUACCAAGGCAACGAUGCGUAGCCGACCUGAGAGGUGAAUCGGCCACCUUGAAACUGGGCCAGGGCCCAAAUCCUGAGGGGGGGAAGAGGUGGGGAAUCUUCGGCAAGGGGGGAAAGCUUGACGGGGCAACGCCGGGGGGGUGAUGAAGGCUUCCGGAUCGUAAAACCUUUUUUUUAGGAAAAAAAAAAUGUGUAGGUAACAAUGCACGUUUGGACGGAACUAAUGCAAAAAGCCAGGGUAAAUUACGU